Molecule: unclassified non-coding RNA, 279 nt
Filed under: plant metagenome
Description: partial contains small subunit ribosomal RNA, internal transcribed spacer 1, and 5.8S ribosomal RNA
Source: RNAcentral
UCUCCGUUGGUGAACCAGCGGAGGGAUCAUUACAGAGUUUUCACGACUCCCAACCCUUGCGAACCGUACCCAUUCUGGUCUCGUUGCUUCCUGCAGCCUGAACGGCACGGGCGGACACUUCCUCCGCGCCCCACUCGCCAGGGUCGUCAGGGCCUUCGGAGCAUUAACUUUUUACCACCUACAAACUCUUGAUGACACAAACAAAAUAAUCUAAACUUACAACAACGGAUAUCUUAGCACUUUCAUCAAUGAAGAACUCAGCUGAACGAACGAGCAAAA